This 443-nucleotide ribosomal RNA is filed under the name Salmonella enterica subsp. enterica serovar Heidelberg. RNAcentral's name for it is "partial 23S ribosomal RNA". It matches the Rfam family "Bacterial large subunit ribosomal RNA", at positions 77 to 559 of the family's 2925-position model. The record is from RNAcentral. Lineage: Bacteria; Pseudomonadati; Pseudomonadota; Gammaproteobacteria; Enterobacterales; Enterobacteriaceae.
GCCGGUAAGGUGAUAUGAACCGUUAUAACCGGCGAUUUCCGAAUGGGGAAACCCAGUGUGACUCGUCACACUAUCAUUAACUGAAUCCAUAGGUUAAUGAGGCGAACCGGGGGAACUGAAACAUCUAAGUACCCCGAGGAAAAGAAAUCAACCGAGAUUCCCCCAGUAGCGGCGAGCGAACGGGGAGGAGCCCAGAGCCUGAAUCAGCAUGUGUGUUAGUGGAAGCGUCUGGAAAGGCGCGCGAUACAGGGUGACAGCCCCGUACACAAAAGCGCAUGUGCUGUGAGCUCGAUGAGUAGGGCGGGACACGUGGUAUCCUGUCUGAAUAUGGGGGGACCAUCCUCCAAGGCUAAAUACUCCUGACUGACCGAUAGUGAACCAGUACCGUGAGGGAAAGGCGAAAAGAACCCCGGCGAGGGGAGUGAAAAAGAACCUGAAACCGU